Molecule: long non-coding RNA, 811 nt
Organism: Xiphias gladius (swordfish)
Lineage: Eukaryota; Metazoa; Chordata; Actinopteri; Istiophoriformes; Xiphiidae
Exons: 3
Source: RefSeq, a predicted model, not a curated record
GUGGUGGCUAAACAAUGUCUUGGAGUCACACCAGUCCGACAAUCCUGUGUAGCUUGCAUCCCUCAGGAGGAGCAGGGGUGAGAGGGUUAAAACAAAUUCUGCAGAGCCUUCGCAUACCAGAUUCUUAAAUGUGUACUCUCUGUUAUCUGAAGAAUAAAACUGCGUGAUUUCCUAUUAAAUUGUGUUUCUGAUUUGGUUCCGACAAACCUAGAAGUGAAUGUUUGAUACCAUCUGUUGAAGAAUUAAAUAAGGUGGAAGAAAGUCCAUGACAGUAUCUGGCGAGCCAGCCACGAGGGCGACAAUCCCAGCGGGAGCGCCUGCAGCCACUGACGAUGGGGGAGAUCGCAGCACUGAUGCGACUAAAUUCAUACCAAGGUUUGCCAGUGAGGAGUGAACCCCCACCGCCGUAAAAAAUACUUUUGGGGUUUCUUGCAGACAAAUCCAGAGUGUGGACUCGGAUGUGGACCAAAACAACCGCACGAAGGCCCUGGAGAGCAGGUGGUCUUGGUCUGGUCCCAAAUGAACUCUGGAGCUGUUUGUUUGUGGUGGGAACAUGAUCCAACCUCGAACCAAUCCAAUACCAGGUGGACUCUGCAAGUUUGAGCUAAACGGCUCCUGUAGCCACGAGUGUUUUAUAUUCUGGGAUGCGGCAGAGCACACAAACUGUAGCAGCUUGCGUAGUAGUAGUAGUAGCAGUUGCCAUUGCUCCAUGUUAAAUUGCAUAGCAAUGUUUCUCUCACAGAAAUAUGCACUACUCCAGAACACAGGACCUUCUUCCUGUAUUUACUUUUUUGCUCCCGCCCCAUACAUA